CUCGCGUAGACACUAGGAGACACGAUUUGUGUACGAAAACCUUUGAGAAGAUUUCUAAACCCAACAACCGACUGAACCACCUUCUGCCACCAACACGGGUGGCCGCGCACGGACGGACUUUGCGUAAUAAGGACUGUUUGUCUCUGCCAAAGUGUCGUACUAAUAGAUACAAAAAUAGUUUUAUUCCAGCAAUGUGCUUUGAGUUAAGGAACAAACUUCAAUGAUAG
Molecule: non-coding RNA, 227 nt
Organism: Paramuricea clavata
Lineage: Eukaryota; Metazoa; Cnidaria; Anthozoa; Malacalcyonacea; Plexauridae
Source: the annotation of a GenBank genome assembly